UGAGGAACAUGACCUUCGGCGGGGGAUAGCCGGCCCAACGGCCGGGUAAUACCGCGUACGACCACUCGGGGACAUCCCUAGGUGGUGAAAGCAGCAAUGCGCCGAUGGAGUGCCUCGCGGCCUAUCAGCUAGUUGGUGAGGUAACGGCUCACCAAGGCGACGACGGGUAGCUGGUCUGAGAGGAUGGCCAGCCACAUUGGGACUGAGACACGGCCCAGACUCCGUACGGGGAGCAG
RNAcentral lists this ribosomal RNA (236 nucleotides) under uncultured bacterium. RNAcentral describes it as "partial 16S ribosomal RNA". It matches the Rfam family "Bacterial small subunit ribosomal RNA", at positions 118 to 347 of the family's 1533-position model. The record is from RNAcentral.